This 501-nucleotide ribosomal RNA is filed under the name uncultured bacterium. Its description in RNAcentral is "partial 16S ribosomal RNA". It matches the Rfam family "Bacterial small subunit ribosomal RNA", at positions 30 to 523 of the family's 1533-position model. The record is from RNAcentral.
AUUGAACGCUGGCGGCAGGCUUAACACAUGCAAGUCGAGCGGGGAAAAGUAGCUUGCUACUUGACCUAGCGGCGGACGGGUGAGUAAUGCUUAGGAAUCUGCCUAUUAGUGGGGGACAACAUCUCGAAAGGGAUGCUAAUACCGCAUACGUCCUACGGGAGAAAGCAGGGGACCUUCGGGCCUUGCGCUAAUAGAUGAGCCUAAGUCGGAUUAGCUAGUUGGUGGGGUAAAGGCCUACCAAGGCGACGAUCUGUAGCGGGUCUGAGAGGAUGAUCCGCCACACUGGGACUGAGACACGGCCCAGACUCCUACGGGAGGCAGCAGUGGGGAAUAUUGGACAAUGGGGGGAACCCUGAUCCAGCCAUGCCGCGUGUGUGAAGAAGGCCUUUUGGUUGUAAAGCACUUUAAGCGAGGAGGAGGCUACCGAGAUUAAUACUCUUGGAUAGUGGACGUUACUCGCAGAAUAAGCACCGGCUAACUCUGUGCCAGCAGCCGCAGUAA